Molecule: ribosomal RNA, 253 nt
Filed under: uncultured bacterium
Lineage: Bacteria
Description: partial 16S ribosomal RNA
Rfam family: Bacterial small subunit ribosomal RNA
Source: RNAcentral
UACGAAGGGGGCUAGCGUUGCUCGGAAUGACUGGGCGUAAAGGGCGCGUAGGCGGUUCGUACAGUCAGACGUGAAAUUCCCGGGCUCAACCUGGGGACUGCGUUUGAUACGUGCGGGCUUGAGUUCGGAAGAGGGUCGUGGAAUUCCCAGUGUAGAGGUGAAAUUCGUAGAUAUUAGGAAGAACACCAGUGGCGAAGGCGGCUCACUGGCCCGGUACUGACGCUGAGGCGCGAAAGCGUGGGGAGCAAACAGG